AAUGAAAAAUGGAGGAUUGUCAAGAACGUUUAUAAAUACCGCUUUUUCAUUUGUUUUGAACGUUUAUUUUUAUUAUAUUAACAUGCGCAUGCGUGUAUAUAAUGUCUACAAAUUUCGUACAUCUGCCACACAAAGUACACAAUAAAUAAAAAUUAUUUUUUUCAGUUCUAUGAAUUCCGUCCGCAUCGUGUCGUCAAUUUAAUAAUUAUCGGCGAUUAUAGAGUGGUCUCAAUAGGAUAUUUAGAUAAACAGACCACGGACGUUACUGGAGUUUCCAAUACAGGCAUUUAUUUCUUAUCUGUCAGAGGCUGAAAUAUGUCGAACUUUGUCAAAUUCACACCUCUUAGGUCUACUACAGAUUGUACUUUUUGGGCUAAAUUUGCAGAACUGAAAAUAGAUAAAUUCAAAUUGGAUGAAAAAUCAGUAAUUAAUUUAUGGGGAAUGUACAAUCUCGAAUCUCUACAAGAAGAGAAUAAUAAUCCAUUAGUAAUGGAUUGCACAUCAUUCAAUGAAGAUACGGAAACAUUUAAUCAUAAUUCAUCUGUAGUUUGUUCGGGGCACAUGAUUAAUACCAAUACUUUUGAAUCAUUUCGAAAGAUAGAUCCUGAGAAACUUAUUGAUACUGUUGGAAAGGAUUUAAUUAUUAGUAUUCAAGAUGGAUCAGUAUUACAGAAACCAUGGAAAUUGUCACUAUUUUUAAUUGUGGCUUAUUCAGAUUUAAAAAAGUAUAGAUUUCAUUAUUGGGUUGCGCAUCCUACUCCUUCAAAAUUGCCUGAAAUGUAUUAUCAGGGGAAUCCAAAACUAGUUGAUGAAGAAUUCCCGAAUACUUUUGAUAAUCUAUGUAAAGGCUUUUCUCAAUUGGAUAGCAGAUCUAAAAAUUAUUUUUCUGUCUUAAUAUCUAAGGAAGGUGACAUGAGUAUUGUUGACUUAGCAACAGGAGUUAAUACUAUUAUGACAAAUGCAGCUGAUUCAAAAGGAUUGCAGGAUAACAGCGAAGUUUACUUUGCAUUUUAUGAUCCUUGUACAAGUAUUCAACCUGGGUGGCCAUUACGCAAUUUGCUGUGUCUAUUGUUCUGGCACUGUCCUACAUAUUGCUUCACAAAAAUUAUUAAAAUUAUAUCUGUACGAGGAAAUAAAGCACACAAAAGUAUUGUUUUCAAAUUAAAAACUAAGGAAUAUGAUGAUUCCAAAGCAUUUAGAGAAACUAUAUUUGAUUGUCCUUUGGUUGGCUGGGAGAGAAACGCAGCUGGUAAAAUGGGCCCUACUAUAAUUGAUUUAUCACAUUACAUGGAUCCAGCCAAAUUGUUGGAUAGAGCUAUUAACCUGAACUUGAAAUUAAUGAAAUGGCGUCUGGUCCCAGAUUUAGAUUUAGAAAAGGUUAGUAAUCUUAGAUGCCUUCUAUUGGGUGCUGGCACUUUGGGUUGUGCUGUAGCAAGAGUACUUCUUGGAUGGGGAGUGAACAACAUAACUUUUGUUGAUAGCUCCAAUGUUUCUCAUAGUAACACUGUGAGACAAAGUUUAUAUAAUCAUGAAGAUGCUGUGAAACAUAAGUACAAGGCUCAUGCAGCUAGAGACGCACUGCUUAGUAUCAGACCAACUAUGAACGCAAAUGGCGUGGUCCUACACAUCCCAAUGCCUGGACACGUUGUUGGUCAAAGUAUGAUGGCGUCUACAAAAAAAUCACUGGAACAAUUAGAGGAUCUUGUCGAGAAGAACGACGUAGUUUUUCUUUUAUUGGAUUCCCGUGAAGCCAGGUGGUUACCCACUGUUCUAUGCGCAGCGAUGAACAAAAUCGCUAUCAACGCAGCUUUAGGCUUCGACUCGUAUACAGUGCAGAGGCACGGUACACGCGAUCUUUCAGUUCCGUUUUCUCCAGAUUUGGAUAUAAAGAAUCCUUGUGGUGUAGAUUUGGGUUGUUACUUUUGUAACGACGUAACACAGCCAGGAAAUUCACAAACUGAUAGAACAUUGGACCAACAAUGCACCGUUAGUAGGCCAGGUUUAUCACAAAUGGCUGCAGGAUUAGCUGUUGAAUUACUGGUAGCCAUAACACAACAUCCUCAGGGCAUCGAAGCUAGAGCAUUAGUGGGUAAUAACAGGGACAGUAUUAGUCAAAACGAUACUGAAUUAGUUGGACUGUUAGGAUGUGUGCCGCAUACGAUACGCGGGUCUCUCUGGAAUUAUGAUAUGCAGUUGACAAUUACGCAUAGGUUCACUGCCUGCACAGCGUGUUCUGUGCCUGUUAUCACGGAAUAUAAAAACCGUGGUUUAUCGUUUGUAUUGGAUGCGUGCAAUGUGCCGAAUUACUUAGAAAAUUUGUCUGGAUUGGAACAGAUAUUGAAAAGAUCCGAUAUAGAGGAUCUUUGCUAUGCGUUGGAUAACAUAAGCGACGACGAAGAAGAUCAAAAAAGUGAUAUGCCUUGAAAACUCAUCACACGUGUACACAUUUUACCUUGGACGAAGAUGCGUUGUUACAUGUACAUAGAUUAAGAUCGCGCUGCAACGGGCAAAUACCAUACAUUCCAUUGUAAUGUUGAAGUAGUGGGGAAGCGAGGCUGUCUCUCGUAUGUCAAGCAGCCUGUGUUCCGUGUGUCCGCCCGCAUACCAUUAGAUUUUCAUCAUUUUCAAUGAAAAUACGUGCCGUGUGUUAAUUCGACAUGCCAUCGUACGUCGUGCCGAAUGUUUGAUCGCAGUUUCGCGCGGGUGUCAUCGCGUAACGUUCGCAAAUAACGUGGAAGGGUUGCGUUUGUGGACUUUCCAUUUUACGAAGAGCAAAGAGGAAUGCGAGAGUAUCGAGAGAUAGGGUAAUUCCUGGAAAGAAUGUCAAUUUCGAGAGGCCAUUGUUUAUAUCGUUCGAAUGAAAUUGCGAUGCCGUACGACGCCGGUUGCGUGGAAGUUUGGAAAGAGAGCAGGGGGCGUGAUACGGGAGUGAGAAGAGAAACAGUGGCUAGUGAUGGACUCAAGAAGUUGUAGAAUUCAUGUUUCAUAGCAGGAAUGUGCAGCAAUGUCCCAAUAUCGAGAACCCUGAAGUAUUCAUCUGAAGUCUCCAUAAGCUUUCCAUAAGGAUAUGAUCACCUGCUUCCUAUCAACAAAUCCAGCAAAUCCUCAACAUCCAUCAAAUUCGUCAUCAGUUUGAAAUUUGAAAGAAGUGGACCGUUUCAGAAUUAGAAGCAAUGCAAGACUUCCAGAAAUGACCUACUUUUGAAGUCCUCACUUUACAUCCGACAAAGAGCCAUUUCGUGUUAAAGACUGUUCUCAUCUAACGUUCGAAACUGUUCAAAAUCCGAUUCGUGUAGCGUGUCGAGUCUAUCGCUAGUCCAGCGCGCUAACGCGGAUUCCUACGUCGGUGCCGGGCUUCCAGCGGUUGCUCGUGGACGAGCACCUACAUCGGGCCGUCCUUCUAUUAACGAACUCGUCA
This 3418-nucleotide unclassified non-coding RNA is filed under the name Megachile rotundata (alfalfa leafcutting bee). RNAcentral describes it as "ubiquitin-like modifier-activating enzyme atg7, transcript variant X2". The record is from RNAcentral. Lineage: Eukaryota; Metazoa; Arthropoda; Insecta; Hymenoptera; Megachilidae.